Molecule: long non-coding RNA, 6103 nt
Organism: Cebus imitator (Panamanian white-faced capuchin)
Lineage: Eukaryota; Metazoa; Chordata; Mammalia; Primates; Cebidae
Exons: 2
Source: RefSeq, a predicted model, not a curated record
UAUUGCAUAUUACUUGUCUUUUUAAAUAUUGUAGUGAAAGUAUUAUACUGAAUUAUUUUUAAUUAUGAGUAUAGAUGGUAUAUGUUAUGCACAACAUUUAUUUCAAUUGUAAAGUGCAGGUUAAUGUUAUUUAAUAUAUGCCAAGGGGAGCAGGGGUCUGUAAGGAUGAGUGUCAGUGAGAUAGGCAAAGUAGGGAGGAAGAACCUUUUAGGCAGCACUUCUAGAACUUUAAUGUGUACAUGAGUCACCAGGGGAUCUUGUUCAAAUGUGGCUACUGCUUCAGUGGUUCUGGGGUGAAGCCUGAGAGUCUGCAUUUCCAACAAGCCCUCAGGUGAUGCUGAUGCUGCUGGUUCCUGGGUCACAUUUUGAGUAGCAAAGUUCUAGACAGAGGGGAUUACAGGUGCAAAGGCUUGAAGGUUUGGUAGAGUUUUUCUGGGAAACAACCAGUGACUUGGCAUAAUCAGAACAUAAAAUGCAAAGCGUUACAUGAGGGUUGAUGAGGCAGUCAAGGGAGGCAGGGUCAGAGCACUCAGGACCUGAAUCCUGUGUUUGGGCUUCGUUUUGUAGACCAUGGAGCACGCUACAAUGAUUCUAAGUGGAGUUCUAUAAUUUAGAUCUCUCUGCCACCAUGUGGGAUGGCUUUGCUGGACACGGGGAGUCCAUUGAAGAAGCUUUUCCAAUUAUGUUGCCAAGAAGUAAGAAGGACCUGAACUGAGGAAGCCACAGUAAGAAAGGAGGGAAGAAGAUAAGCUUGUUUUUUUAGAGUUCAACUUCCUGAGUGUUGGAGAUUGAUUGAGUGAACUGUGAAGAGGAAGGAGGUCAAGGAUGACUUUAGAAAAGUCAGAAAAGUGUCGUGUAAGAUUCACAUAGAAAUAAGGACAAUCACAAGAGUUGCACAAGAGUUGAUAUUGGAGACUGGAAUGCUACUCAAAGAACAGAAUUCCCCCAAACAUCCAAGAUGGUCCUGAGCAACUGAAUUAUCUUAACAUCAGCUUAGCAGUAGAGUGCCGUUAGGUAACUCUGGUAAGUGUAUACGUGUAAUCUGCUUCAAUAGUCCUAUUCCCACCAGCCAACUGCCCUUCCCACCUUUUAUUAGCUUUUUGUUACAGCUGUCUCAUAGCUUUUGCCCACUUCUAAUUUCAGUAUACGCAAUGGCUUUUCACAACAUCUACAGCUGACUUUCUCUCUGGGUAUCUUCUGUUUCUGCUCCAUCUUCCUAAUGCUCAAACCAAUUAAUGUAAUGGUUUACAUUUAAUGGUAAUACAUUAAAUGUAAAAACAAACAAACAAACAAACAAAAAAACCACCCAAAGAGGGCAUAUCAUUCCUUCAGUUUAUUUUGACACAGAUUUUGUGCCAUGCUAUUCAUAAAGCACCAGCCAGAAUACAUGUUGUUUGCCUUUGAGCUCACUUCCCACUUUUGGCAAGGCUGGCUGUUGUUCUGUAGCAGGAUAACAUAGCUGAAGAAUUGAGGUAUGUCAGCUUAAGGAUUCACCAUGGUCGGGCUCCUCUGCAGAAGACCAAGGAAGUGUGUCAUGGGCAUUCUGACCCUUACCCUCUUCAGAAUAGCCCCACUAACAUGUCAGAAACUGAUUCCUUUCGAAGGAUAAACAAAUGGUAUAACCAGAAAAGGCUUUGAAGGCUUUGCAACGAACCCCAAAUUAUAAGUAGUUACAUAGAAAUUUAAAGAACGGAAUCUCUGUUUGGAUAGAUGUCCUUUGUAAUGCAGGUAUCCUUUUUUAUUUAUUGUCCUUUCCUUUUUUUUUUUUUUAAGUUUUGUAUUUCAGUCACAGUGGUUUCAGUUACACAUACCUCUCAGUUCAUAUUCCACCAUUGCUACUGGUACAUACAAAGCCUCCUUAGUCCUUUAGUGCUACUGUAACAAAAUAACAAUGUCUAGGUAAUUUAUAAAGAACAGAAUUUUAUUUCUCUCAGUCCUGGAGGCUGGGAGUCCGGGAUACAGAGUCCAGCAGGUUUGGUGUCUGGUAAGAACUUGGUCUCUGUUUCCAAGAUGGUGCCUGUUGCUUUGUCCUCUGGAGGGGAUAAUGCUGUGUCCCCACAUGGUGGAAGGGGUGGGAGAACAAAAGGGUGCUUCCUCCAACCUUGAGGUCUAAAGGGCCUAAUGCUAAUACCAGCUUUUAGGACGAAGCCCUCAUGACUUAACUACCUCUUAAAGGCCAUGCUUCUUAAUACUGUUGCACGGGGGGGCAUGAAAACAUUUAAGCCCUAGCACCUCCCUUGAUUGGUUGAUUGAUUGGAAUCCUUUUCACAAUCUCUGAUAGGGUUUUAACCUACUGCCGGAACUUACUAGCUCAUAAUGGCAACAACUGAUUUCAUAUAUUGAACUUGCUACUUCUUAGGUCAUUGUUUCAUACGUUAAACCAAAAAUAACUUUCCCCUAAUGUCUGCAGUUCUUUCUUGCAGAAUCAUAGAGAAAAUGUCUAUUUCUUCCCUCAACACAAUAGCCUUUCAACCCUAUAAGGUUGGCUAUUAAUAUACCUGAGCCUUCACUCUUCUAUGUGAAACACAUUUUGUUAUUUCAUCAAUUCUUCAUAUGAUGUGAAUUUAAGGCACUUUACUACCUAGUCACUUUCCCUCAGACACACUCUAGUUUGAUAAUUUCUUUUUAAAAAUAUACAUAUCAAAUAUUUUAAAUAUGCUCUGCCAAUGCAGAACAUGAUGGGUGCAACCUUGCCCCUCCCUUCCCUAGUUUUGGUUUUUAUAAAUGUAUCCUAAAAUUUGUGUCAGUCUUUUUGGAAAUAAUAUCGCAUUUUUGACUCUCAUUGAACUUCAAAUUUUUUUCAAGUGAACUCCUGUCAAUUCAGAGCUUUCCUACCUUAUAUUUAAGUAGUUGAUUCUUUGAACUUAGAUGCAGAACUUAACAUUUAACACUAUUAAAUUGUAUAUAGUUAAUUUCAUUCCAUCCUUCUCCUUUUCCAAGGUCUUUUCAAAUUCGAUUCUUUAAUAUUGUUUAUCAGCUUUACCGCCAACUUUUAGUCAUGUAAAACUUGAUAGGCAAAGUUUUUAUUGGAAUUCACCCAAUUCACUUAUUAAGAUGUUUACGAUUUUAGACUAGAAGACAAAGAAUCACUUUUAGUAGUGGCUCUCAAUUUUUGUGUACAAAAUAAUUAACUAGGACAUUUGCUAAAUUUGCAGGCCCCUAAGUCCCAUUUCUAGAAAUUUUGAUUUAAUAAGUCUGGGAUGUGAUUCCGGGAAUGUGCAUUUUUAACUAGCACCACAUUUGAUCCUGAUGCUUUUUGUCCUUGGCCACGCCUUUAGAAAUAUCUUCAAAAUUUUCCUUUUGGUCUAAAUUGACAUUAACAUGUUCAUUAAUUGUAAUAGAGUGCUGUGUCUUCUUAGCACAGUGCUGGACACAUGAUUAAUACUGAAGGAAUGACUGAACCAAAGAAAGAAUGAAGGGUGGAAGCAGUGUUCAGCUAAUAAUUCAGCUGUAUGUAUUCAUUUUUGUCACAAAGCCAAUAUGAUCAGCUUUUUAGUGCUUUGUUGUAAUUGAAUUAUAUUAUGUCUUUGAUGUUCCGCACUGGGGGAAAAAAAGAGACGUAUUUUGUGUGACCUUUUCUUAAUGAACAUAUGUUGUCUCUUAGUGAUCAUUGCUUUCCUUUCUAAGUGCUCACAAAUCAUGUGUUUAAUUCUGCUGUCUAGAAUUUCAUUGAGAAUUAAAAGGUGUAUCAUAUUUAAACCUGGAAAUCUCCCUUUAUGAGCUCUUGCUUUACUUUAAGAAAUUAGGGCACAGGCAUAGUGUUUUACUUAUUUACUAUGCUUUAGGCUAUGUUAGUUCUUUCAUGUCUUAAUAUGUUUGCAGAUAAAUAAGAACCCAAGUACUGGACACUUUGACAAAAAAAAAAAAUUCUUACUUUUUCCUAGAAUUUAUACUUAUAAAAACUUUCAAAAUCUACAGAAAGACUCAAAGAAUAUUACAAUGUUCUUAAUCUAGGGCAACAAUUGUUAGCAUUUUGCUGUAUUUUUUUUUUAUAUCUAGCAAGAUAUAUAGCUAGCUAGAUUUUCCCUUCCCCUGUCUCCUGAACCAGUCAUUUAGUCUCCUUUAGUCCAGAACAAUUUCUCUGCACUGCUUUCUGCUUUUCAGGAUGGAUGCCUGAAUUCUCUGAUUAUACUUCUUGGUUUUGUCUGUCUGUUUAGUUUAGUUUUGGCUUUUGAACCAUGUGACAUUUUACAUGUUCAAAAAAUAAAAUUAAAGAGGAUUAAAAAUAGUAAAUUUUAAAAUUUGCUCCUAAAGGAGAACUGGGCUGGUAUAUCACAGUGUUCAUCACCAAUUUUAGGGAAACCAGAGAAGGCUGAUCCAAAGUACAGAGGAGAAGGAAGGAAGGCUGGGUGGAAGAAUACUAGACCACUCUGAAGGUUCAGGAAAACUCAGCAAGGUCAUCAGGGACUUCUCCAGAUAAAAAGCAGCUAUCAGAUCAGUCCCCUGCUCCCAGCAAGAGGCCUGCCCCAGUAAUCCCGCUGGCUCUGUUACCAGCUGAGAGCAGCCAGGGCAAGGCGCCGCCCACGCGGUGCAAUGCAGCCAUGGAUUUCAGAUCUCAGCCGGGGGUCUGUGGGAGGUGACUCUCAGGGCUGUCAAGUCAGGGUCCAGCCCCUUUCAGAGGGUGGCCGUCUUUUGAUUGAUUGCAGGGGACCCAUCUGUAGCCCCAACUCAGGAAAGUUGUGGUGGGUCCCCACUGAGGCUCUGUCAAGACUUCAUCACAGCUCGACCUCUUGCUCUGCUCUGCUCAGUCCUGCUUCCUUCCCUUCGCUGGACCCAUCUGUAGCCCCAACUCAGGAAAGUUGUGGUGGGUCCCCACUGAGGCUCUGUCAAGACUUCAUCACAGCUCGACCUCUUGCUCUGCUCUGCUCAGUCCUGCUUCCUUCCCUUCGCUGCCCCUGUGGCUGAUUUUAAGUGCACCCUCUAAUAAGCCGCCUGCGUGCCCACCUGCCAGCACUGCUCCAAGCUCUUAUUACCCUGUUAACACCUAUGCAAUCCUCACAACGCUGAGGUGGGUGCUGUUAGCAUCUUCAUUUUAUGCAUAAGGAAGCUAAGGAACAGAAACUGGCUAAGUGGCUGCCCGAAGGUAUUCAUGCCCCUGGGAGGUAGCAAAGGCUUGCCUCAAACAUAGGCAUGCUGACUCCCUGCCGCCCCCUUACCUGCCACUCACUGCUCUUCUCCGUGACACAGAGAUUGCUGUUAGCAUACCCAGUAUCGCAGUCCUAUUAUAUUUUCCAGAUGCUUUCCUAAGCAAAUACCAGAAAAACUUCCCGGAGAUUCAGCGUAGGAGGAGAUCUGCCCUGAUUGUGUGAAGGCAGUUCCAACCUGAAUCUAUUUAUCCGCAGGGCCUUAGCUCCAGCCCGGAGAACUGGCUUCACCCUCUAAGCUGCAUUCCCCAGCACUCAGUUUUUCUCUGGCAACGUGAUACACCUGCCACUACCAUUCUGCAAAAGGAAGGAAUAUGUACAGCACAAAUAACAAAGUGAGAAAUAAAUACUCUCCUCUUCCCUAAGACAAGAGCUAGUUCUUGCUUCCUGACCUAUUUGAGUGCGUAUUCAGAGCUUGCAUGACGCAGCUAAACUAGCCUAUUUAGCAUUUAUGCAUCUGCUCGGUGCUCCGCAAGCUCUUUAAGAUGUGGCAUUUAAAAAUCUUCAUAACGCAAGGUCACAAUAGCCAUUUCUAUAGGGAGACUGAGGAAUUAUCAAGACUACAGUUGGAAUUUAGGGUGGGGAAGUCCUUCCACUCCGAUGAGCUUCUCAGGCGUUGGAAGGAUAGCCAAUUGUCCUAGUUUUCCUUGGGGCUAAGUUUCCCAGGAUGUGGGACUUUCUUCCCUGAAACUGGGAGAGUCACAGGUAAAGGGCAACAAUUGGUCACCCUACAAUGGGCUUUAUGGCCCACAUUGCUAUGUUACAGAAAUGCCUGCCGCUCUACUGUAACUACUUUGUAUUAUUAUUUUUUAAAUGCUUUUUUUUUAAUUAAUCUAGGAAAUUCCUUAUAGAAACUAUGGAGAUAAACAAAGGAAAAACUAAAAACCACUCAGUAGCUCAUUAUGCAGAGGUCACUCUUUAAACCUUUCAACAUCUUCUGUGGUUUUUUUUUUUUUUUU